AAAAAGCAAAAGCUAAACCCUAAUCCUUCAUCUCAGAUCUAUGGCCUCCAGGUUGAUCGCCCGCAGUGCCUCCCCCCUCUCCAAGGCCAUGGAGAAGAUCCUCCUCUCCGGCCGCGGAGGAGCGCCUGUCGCUUGCCGUUCCUUCAACAACUCCGCCGAGAUCCGCGACUACUCCGACGAUGAUCGGAGCCUUGAAGUUCACCGCCGCUCCGAUGACGCCCCCGCCUCCCGCCGCCGCCGCGCCGAGGACAUGCCGUCUUUCUUCUCAGGUAAGGCGUUUGAUCCGUUUUUUGGUCCGUCCCGUAGCCUGAGCCAGGUGCUGAACAUGAUGGAUCAGAUGACUGACGGCCCUCUCGUGGCUUCAAGGGUGCCAGUGUCCCCGCGUCGGAUUUGGGUUGCGAAAGAGGACAAUGACGCCCUGCACUUGAGGGUUGACAUGCCAGGGUUGGGGAAGGAGCAUGUUCGGGUGAGUGUGGAGCAGAACACUCUGGUUCUUAAGGGGGAGGGCGAUAAGGAGUCUGAUGACGAGGAAGGCGUUCGUCGCUACAGCAGCCGCAUUGAUCUGCCAUCGGAUCUGUACAAGAUGGACCAGAUCCGUGCUGAGAUGAAGAAUGGUGUGCUCAAGGUGGUGGUGCCCAAGGUCAAGGAGGAGGAGCGCAAGGAUGUGUUCCAGAUUUCGGUUGAGUGAUCGGUGCUUUUCCGUUCUGCUAUUCUUCUUUUGAAGAAUCUGGUGGUCAUGCUCUAACUUUUUCUCUUUAAAGAAUGAGGUGUUUUCCGUAAGUAUGUUAAGUCGAAAAGUAAGAAAGUGGUGUGUGUUGUCCGUAAGUAGUCGAGACAUUUAGUUGUAAUUUUGGUCGAAAUGAACUCUUAAUCUGGUUCAUGGAGUGGUG
Molecule: unclassified non-coding RNA, 890 nt
Filed under: Hevea brasiliensis (rubber tree)
Lineage: Eukaryota; Viridiplantae; Streptophyta; Magnoliopsida; Malpighiales; Euphorbiaceae
Source: RNAcentral